GACUGGUGACCUCAGGCCAAUCAUUUGUCCUUUUUGAGUCUUGUUUUCUAGAUUAUAAAACAGGAAACAUUUCCUUCCUCAUAAGAUGAGCCAGUGCCCAAAAGCCACUAUUUAGGACAUCCACACAUACAUGAAUCACAUGCAAUUCCAGGAAGACACACAAUUAUGUGGAUUUUUAGUGCCUUGUGGCUGGCCUGUCCCUAGGUCUAUCUGUGAGGGUCAGACAUGUCCUGAGGUUUUGUUCUAAUCUUUAUUUUAUUUAUUUAUUUAUUUAUUUAUAUGUGGUGCUAAGAAUUGAACCCAGUGCCUCACACGUGCCAGUACUAGGGAUUGAAUGCAAGACCUCACACAAGUUCUGCAAGUGCUCCAACACUCAGUUAUAUCCCCACUCCUUUUUUAAAAUUUCAAGACUGGCUCUGACAAAGUUGCUAGGCUGGCCUUGAACUUAUGAUCCUCCUCCUCAGCUUCUAGUGUAGCUGGAAGCUUCUGACUUGUUUCUAUUUUUUCUGUGGCUACUCAUACAAUACAAUGGCAGAGCUAAGUAGUUGUGAUAUAGAUGAAUGGCUGGCAAAGCCUGAAAUAUUUACUUUCUGGCCCUUCACAGAAGUUUGCUGACACUUGUCCCAGUGUAUCUGUAAAGCUGCUCUUCUGAGAUGCCCUACUCUUACCAUUUCCUCCCCUAAAUGGACCCAGUGGCACUCCAACCCACUCUACCCCAGCAGCCCCAAACCCAACACUGACAAAAGGCCAGCCUUGGGAGAGGGGAACUGCUGACCUGUCCAGCCUGGGCUCCAUCAUAC
This is a long non-coding RNA of Marmota monax (woodchuck), 800 nucleotides long. RefSeq lists it as uncharacterized. The transcript has 2 exons. The record is from RefSeq and is a predicted model, not a curated record. Lineage: Eukaryota; Metazoa; Chordata; Mammalia; Rodentia; Sciuridae.